Molecule: non-coding RNA, 126 nt
Organism: Ornithorhynchus anatinus (platypus)
Lineage: Eukaryota; Metazoa; Chordata; Mammalia; Monotremata; Ornithorhynchidae
Source: RefSeq, marked provisional
UUAAGUGCUGGGAUACAUAACAAGUAAGCAGAUCAGACACUUGUUCCUGUUCUAUGUGGGUCUCAAGGUCUAAGUGAGAGAUAGAAAUAAGAACUGUUAUUUGCCAAUCUAUGUUCACAGUAUUGA